UAAAAGAAAUUAUGAUAAUUUUGGCACAUAAUUAUUGGAAGGUUACCAUUCACAGCUAUGUAUUCGGCAUCUAUUAUUGGAUCUGUAACUUCAUUCAUGAAAAUAAUGGUACAUUUGCUUGUUUUUGCUCUUGGCCUUGGCUUGUUUUACUUAUGAACCUUAUGUGAUGAGGAUGAAUAUAUGUGAUAUGGCUGGCAGUGAGCAUGCACAAUCCAAGAGAAAAUUUUUCCUGAUGGGAACUGUUAUUAUUUAUUCCAGUGAAGAGAAGGCUGGGAGUUGGCUUGAGCGUCCACCAGUACAGCGGUCUCUGCAGUCUGUGUCCUGUCACUGGGGAGACAUUCCUGAGAUGGGGGGACUAUAGGAUUGGCUGAAAGGAACAUCAACACAACUAAAAAAAUAACAGAACAUGUCACAGAAAGUUAUCACAUCGACUCUUGCACACAAAUAAAGAAAUGUAACGAUACUCUGGGGGCCA
RNAcentral lists this long non-coding RNA (475 nucleotides) under Sus scrofa (pig). Its description in RNAcentral is "lncRNA (ENSSSCG00050016952.1)". Lineage: Eukaryota; Metazoa; Chordata; Mammalia; Artiodactyla; Suidae. The record is from RNAcentral.